ACUUACGGUCAUACCACCCUGCUAUAUGUCCGAUCUAGGAAGCUAAGCAGGGUCGGGCCUGAUUAGUAGUACUUGGAUGAGAGACCACCUGGGAAUACCAGGUACUGUAAGCA
Scleropages formosus (Asian bonytongue) is the source of this 113-nucleotide ribosomal RNA. Lineage: Eukaryota; Metazoa; Chordata; Actinopteri; Osteoglossiformes; Osteoglossidae. The record is from Rfam.